GAUGAAGAACGCAGCGAAAUGCGAUAAUUAAUGUGAAUUGCAGAAUUCAGUGAAUCAUCGAAUCUUUGAACGCACAUUGCGCCCGCCAGUAUUCUGGCGGGCAUGCCUGUCCGAGCGUCAUUUCAACCCUCGAACCCCUCCGGGGGGUCGGCGUUGGGGAUCGGCCCUGCCUCUUGGCGGUGGCCGUCUCCGAAAUACAGUGGCGGUCUCGCCGCAGCCUCUCCUGCGCAGUAGUUUGCACACUCGCAUCGGGAGCGCGGCGCGUCCACAGCCGUUAAACACCCAACUUCUGAAAUGUUGACCUCGGAUCAGGUAGGAAUACCCGCUGAACUUAAGCAUAUCAAUAAGCGGAGGA
RNAcentral lists this unclassified non-coding RNA (355 nucleotides) under soil metagenome. Its description in RNAcentral is "partial contains 5.8S ribosomal RNA, internal transcribed spacer 2, and large subunit ribosomal RNA". The stretch from base 1 to 120 matches the Rfam family "5.8S ribosomal RNA", at positions 35 to 154 of the family's 154-position model. The record is from RNAcentral.